Acanthaster planci (crown-of-thorns starfish) is the source of this 510-nucleotide long non-coding RNA. The record is from RefSeq and is a predicted model, not a curated record. NCBI's taxonomy places the organism in Eukaryota, Metazoa, Echinodermata, Asteroidea, Valvatida, Acanthasteridae.
CAGACACGUGGGUGCGGUGGCACAUGUGUAGUGUACUGGGCGUAUGGUGGUUGCAUUAAGCCGUUUAUUUUCGCGACUUCGUGUAUCAUCUUUGAGCGUUGAGGAAUCGGUGGCACACCUACGUGAUGACAUUGAUGGAAAGCGGGCUCCAGAGAGACUCAAGUUCCAGUCAUGCCAGUGAGGACCCAAGUGACAGCCACUCUGACAGUGAUGAGGAGCAAGAACAGUGGAUGGAGAAAACAGCAGUGUGAAAGGUGAUAGCAGCGCGUUGGUCCCCUGCUUGUGGGCUCAUCCUCUGGCAUAACUGGCCUAAUAGAGUAAGGAGAUAGCAGCGUGGUUGGUCCCCUGCCUGUGGGCUCAUCUUCUGGCAUCACUGCCCCAUUAGAGUGUAGCCAUCUCUUGUUUCAUGACAAUACUAGUCAUGAUUUUGGUUGUCGCAACAAUUUGUUUAAAGGUACAGUCCAUCAUUUGUCUUUUGUGGAUUAUUUUCCUUUGAAGCAACAAAAUUAC